CAAGCGUUGAGGUGAAAUAAAGUCUUAGCCUUGCUUUUGAGUUUUGGAAGAUGAGCGAAGUAGGGUGAAGUAGUCAUCUUUGCUAAGCAUGUAGAGGUCUUUGUGGGAUUAUUUUUGGACAGGGGUUCGAUUCCCCUCGCUUCCACCA
This 148-nucleotide transfer-messenger RNA is filed under the name Campylobacter jejuni. Its description in RNAcentral is "partial transfer-messenger RNA". It matches the Rfam family "transfer-messenger RNA", at positions 227 to 374 of the family's 374-position model. From Rfam's summary of the family: Bacterial tmRNA, also known as 10Sa RNA or SsrA, is named for its dual tRNA and mRNA-like properties. Its role is to liberate the mRNA from a stalled ribosome. Lineage: Bacteria; Pseudomonadati; Campylobacterota; Epsilonproteobacteria; Campylobacterales; Campylobacteraceae. The record is from RNAcentral.